Lepidothrix coronata (blue-crowned manakin) is the source of this 92-nucleotide long non-coding RNA. RefSeq lists it as uncharacterized. Lineage: Eukaryota; Metazoa; Chordata; Aves; Passeriformes; Pipridae. The record is from RefSeq and is a predicted model, not a curated record. The transcript is spliced from 3 exons.
AUGUGUAUGUGUGUGUGUGAGUGUUCUAGUUAGGACAGCUGGGCCCAGUUCAUCACUGGAUGGGUGUAACCCAAAACUGUGUAUUCUAUAGC